Molecule: ribosomal RNA, 486 nt
Filed under: Pulvinaria psidii
Lineage: Eukaryota; Metazoa; Arthropoda; Insecta; Hemiptera; Coccidae
Description: SSU rRNA
Rfam family: Eukaryotic small subunit ribosomal RNA
Source: RNAcentral
AUGCAUGUCUAAGUACAAGCCGUUUACGGUGAAACUGCGAAAGGCUCAUUAAAUCAGUUAUGGUUCCUUAGAUCGUGCCAAAGUUACAUGGAUAACUGUGGUAAUUCUAGAGCUAAUACAUGCCGACAGAGCUCCGACCAGCAUGUCGAUCUGUGGUUCGCCGCAGUUUCGGCUGUUCGGAAGGAGCGCUUUUAUUAGAUCAAAACCGGCCAAGCGCUUCGUUCGCGAUUCGUUCGUGUUCGAGCGUAAGUGGCCCGCGCAAAGACUUGACGACUCUGAAUAACUUUUAGCUGAUCGCACGGUCUCGUACCGGCGACGUAUCUUUCAAAUGUCUGCCUUAUCAACUGUCGACGGUAGGUUCUACGCCUACCGUGGUGUUAACGGGUAACGGGGAAUCAGGGUUCGAUUCCGGAGAGGGAGCCUGAGAAACGGCUACCACAUCCAAGGAAGGCAGCAGGCACGCAACUUAUCCAUUGGACAUUGUUC